Molecule: ribosomal RNA, 494 nt
Filed under: uncultured bacterium
Lineage: Bacteria
Description: partial 16S ribosomal RNA
Rfam family: Bacterial small subunit ribosomal RNA
Source: RNAcentral
GACGAACGCUGGCGGCGUGCUUAACACAUGCAAGUCGAACGGAAAGGCCUGCUUUCCCUUGUGGAUUGCGGGUACUCGAGUGGCGAACGGGUGAGUAACACGUGAGUGAUCUGCCCCCAACUUGGGUAUAAGCCUGUGAAACUGGGUCUAAUUCCCGAUAGGACUGCAGGGUGGUGCCUGUGGUGGAAAACGAUUUUCUAGUGGUUGGGGAUGAGCUCGCGGCCUAUCAGCUUGUUGGUGGGGUAAUGGCCUACCAAGGCGGCGACGGGUAGCCGGCCUGAGAGGGUGGACGGCCACAUUGGGACUGAGAUACGGCCCAGACUCCUACGGGAGGCAGCAGUGGGGAAUAUUGCACAAUGGGCGGAAGCCUGAUGCAGCGACGCCGCGUGGGGGAUGACGGCCUUCGGGUUGUAAACUCCUUUCGACCGCGAGGAAGCCACCUGGUUGGAAGGGUGGUGACGGUAGUGGUAGAAGAAGCACCGGCUAACUACGUG